GGUUAAGCGACUAAGCGUACACGGUGGAUGCCCUGGCAGUCAGAGGCGAUGAAGGACGUGCUAAUCUGCGAUAAGCGUCGGUAAGGUGAUAUGAACCGUUAUAACCGGCGAUUUCCGAAUGGGGAAACCCAGUGUGAUUCGUCACACUAUCAUUAACUGAAUCCAUAGGUUAAUGAGGCGAACCGGGGGAACUGAAACAUCUAAGUACCCCGAGGAAAAGAAAUCAACCGAGAUUCCCCCAGUAGCGGCGAGCGAACGGGGAGCAGCCCAGAGCCUGAAUCAGUGUGUGUGUUAGUGGAAGCGUCUGGAAAGGCGUGCGAUACAGGGUGACAGCCCCGUACACAAAAAUGCACAUACUGUGAGCUCGAUGAGUAGGGCGGGACACGUGGUAUCCUGUCUGAAUAUGGGGGGACCAUCCUCCAAGGCUAAAUACUCCUGACUGACCGAUAGUGAACCAGUACCGUGAGGGAAAGGCGAAAAGAACCCCGGCGAGGGGAGUGAAAAAGAACCUGAAACCGUGUACGUACAAGCAGUGGGAGCACGCUUAGGCGUGUGACUGCGUACCUUUUGUAUAAUGGGUCAGCGACUUAUAUUCUGUAGCAAGGUUAACCGAAUAGGGGAGCCGAAGGGAAACCGAGUCUUAACUGGGCGUUAAGUUGCAGGGUAUAGACCCGAAACCCGGUGAUCUAGCCAUGGGCAGGUUGAAGGUUGGGUAACACUAACUGGAGGACCGAACCGACUAAUGUUGAAAAAUUAGCGGAUGACUUGUGGCUGGGGGUGAAAGGCCAAUCAAACCGGGAGAUAGCUGGUUCUCCCCGAAAGCUAUUUAGGUAGCGCCUCGUGAAUUCAUCUCCGGGGGUAGAGCACUGUUUCGGCAAGGGGGUCAUCCCGACUUACCAACCCGAUGCAAACUGCGAAUACCGGAGAAUGUUAUCACGGGAGACACACGGCGGGUGCUAACGUCCGUCGUGAAGAGGGAAACAACCCAGACCGCCAGCUAAGGUCCCAAAGUCAUGGUUAAGUGGGAAACGAUGUGGGAAGGCCCAGACAGCCAGGAUGUUGGCUUAGAAGCAGCCAUCAUUUAAAGAAAGCGUAAUAGCUCACUGGUCGAGUCGGCCUGCGCGGAAGAUGUAACGGGGCUAAACCAUGCACCGAAGCUGCGGCAGCGACGCUUAUGCGUUGUUGGGUAGGGGAGCGUUCUGUAAGCCUGCGAAGGUGUGCUGUGAGGCAUGCUGGAGGUAUCAGAAGUGCGAAUGCUGACAUAAGUAACGAUAAAGCGGGUGAAAAGCCCGCUCGCCGGAAGACCAAGGGUUCCUGUCCAACGUUAAUCGGGGCAGGGUGAGUCGACCCCUAAGGCGAGGCCGAAAGGCGUAGUCGAUGGGAAACAGGUUAAUAUUCCUGUACUUGGUGUUACUGCGAAGGGGGGACGGAGAAGGCUAUGUUGGCCGGGCGACGGUUGUCCCGGUUUAAGCGUGUAGGCUGGUUUUCCAGGCAAAUCCGGAAAACUAAGGCUGAGGCGUGAUGACGAGGCACUACGGUGCUGAAGCAACAAAUGCCCUGCUUCCAGGAAAAGCCUCUAAGCAUCAGGUAACAUCAAAUCGUACCCCAAACCGACACAGGUGGUCAGGUAGAGAAUACCAAGGCGCUUGAGAGAACUCGGGUGAAGGAACUAGGCAAAAUGGUGCCGUAACUUCGGGAGAAGGCACGCUGAUAUGUAGGUGAAGCGACUUGCUCGUGGAGCUGAAAUCAGUCGAAGAUACCAGCUGGCUGCAACUGUUUAUUAAAAACACAGCACUGUGCAAACACGAAAGUGGACGUAUACGGUGUGACGCCUGCCCGGUGCCGGAAGGUUAAUUGAUGGGGUCAGCGCAAGCGAAGCUCUUGAUCGAAGCCCCGGUAAACGGCGGCCGUAACUAUAACGGUCCUAAGGUAGCGAAAUUCCUUGUCGGGUAAGUUCCGACCUGCACGAAUGGCGUAAUGAUGGCCAGGCUGUCUCCACCCGAGACUCAGUGAAAUUGAACUCGCUGUGAAGAUGCAGUGUACCCGCGGCAAGACGGAAAGACCCCGUGAACCUUUACUAUAGCUUGACACUGAACAUUGAGCCUUGAUGUGUAGGAUAGGUGGGAGGCUUUGAAGUGUGGACGCCAGUCUGCAUGGAGCCGACCUUGAAAUACCACCCUUUAAUGUUUGAUGUUCUAACGUUGACCCGUGAUCCGGGUUGCGGACAGUGUCUGGUGGGUAGUUUGACUGGGGCGGUCUCCUCCUAAAGAGUAACGGAGGAGCACGAAGGUUGGCUAAUCCUGGUCGGACAUCAGGAGGUUAGUGCAAUGGCAUAAGCCAGCUUGACUGCGAGCGUGACGGCGCGAGCAGGUGCGAAAGCAGGUCAUAGUGAUCCGGUGGUUCUGAAUGGAAGGGCCAUCGCUCAACGGAUAAAAGGUACUCCGGGGAUAACAGGCUGAUACCGCCCAAGAGUUCAUAUCGACGGCGGUGUUUGGCGACCUCGAUGUCGGCUCAUCACAUCCUGGGGCUGAAGUAGGUCCCAAGGGUAUGGCUGUUCGCCAUUUAAAGUGGUACGCGAGCUGGGUUUAGAACGUCGUGAGACAGUUCGGUCCCUAUCUGCCGUGGGCGCUGGAGAACUGAGGGGGGCUGCUCCUAGUACGAGAGGACCGGAGUGGACGCAUCACUGGUGUUCGGGUUGUCAUGCCAAUGGCACUGCCCGGUAGCUAAAUGCGGAAGAGAUAAGUGCUGAAAGCAUCUAAGCACGAAACUUGCCCCGAGAUGAGUUCUCCCUGACUCCUUGAGAGUCCUGAAGGAACGUUGAAGACGACGACGUUGAUAGGCCGGGUGUGUAAGCGCAGCGAUGCGUUGAGCUAACCGGUACUAAUGAACCGUGAGGCUUAACCUU
RNAcentral lists this ribosomal RNA (2905 nucleotides) under Escherichia coli. RNAcentral's name for it is "23S ribosomal RNA". It matches the Rfam family "Bacterial large subunit ribosomal RNA". Lineage: Bacteria; Pseudomonadati; Pseudomonadota; Gammaproteobacteria; Enterobacterales; Enterobacteriaceae. The record is from RNAcentral.